Molecule: ribosomal RNA, 609 nt
Filed under: marine bacterium SIMO-4447
Lineage: Bacteria
Description: bacterial SSU rRNA
Rfam family: Bacterial small subunit ribosomal RNA
Source: RNAcentral
GUAGCUUGCUACUUUGCUGACGAGCGGCGGACGGGNGAGUAAUGCUUGGGAACAUGCCUUGAGGUGGGGGACAACAGNAGGAAACGACUGCUAAUACCGCAUAAUGUCUACGGACCAAAGGGGGCUUCGGCUCUCGCCUUUAGAUUGGCCCAAGUGGGAUUAGCUAGUUGGUGAGGUAAUGGCUCACCAAGGCAACGAUCCCUAGCUGGUUUGAGAGGAUGAUCAGCCACACUGGAACUGAGACACGGUCCAGACUCCUACGGGAGGCAGCAGUGGGGAAUAUUGCACAAUGGGCGAAAGCCUGAUGCAGCCAUGCCGCGUGUGUGAAGAAGGCCUUCGGGUUGUAAAGCACUUUCAGUCAGGAGGAAAGGGUGUGAGUUAAUACCUCACAUCUGUGACGUUACUGACAGAAGAAGCACCGGCUAACUCCGUGCCAGCAGCCGCGGUAAUACGGAGGGUGCGAGCGUUAAUCGGAAUUACUGGGCGUAAAGCGUACGCAGGCGGUUUGUUAAGCGAGAUGUGAAAGCCCCGGGCUCAACCUGGGAACUGCAUUUCGAACUGGCAAACUAGAGUGUGAUAGAGGGUGGUAGAAUUUCAGGUGUAGCGGUG